GUCUCUUUCCACACCAUUGACAAGCAAACAAAUUGUGUGUAAUAAAUAAAUGAAAAAGAGAGAAAAGUGGUUUUCCAAAGAAAGAAAAAAAGUUUGUUUACUUGUGAUGUGUGUGUGUGUGUUAUAGUGGGCCAAAGGGCUCAGGAAGAAGCUCGAAUCCUCCAUUAUCAAACAUGAGUCCGUGAUCUGAUGACCUAUCAUCGAUGCUAUGUAACCAGUUUGUGUUCUUGACGUCCUCCUUCAGCAACAAAGCGUCAUACCUCGAGCUCUCAUACAUGUCCAUAUCACUCAGCUUCCCCAUCAGUCUUCUUCCAUCAGUUGCUUCGUUCCCAUUCUCUGCGCUGCUACUGCUAAUAGAAUCCGAAAGGUUAUUUACUGAACGGAUUGGCUGUAUCUUGGACGAGGCUUGUCUGAUGCUCUGAGGGAACAACGUCGUGGUUGAUAGUGCACAACCGUUUGACUUUCCGUUUCUUAUGUCCUAUACGCAACACCAAAAUGUCGAGAUAUUAACAGCAUGAUAGAGAUUUUUAAAUGCACGAGUCACUUGCAGCGAGAAGUAUGGAUGGACGUUUUUACCCCAAACCAAAAUCCCGACCUUAACCAAACCGGAAAAGCCAAAAUCCAAUUCGAACCGUUAUAAAAAAAUCUGAAACCAAAGAGCUAUGUACUUUCGGACCGAAAUCCGAACUAGGAUCCAAAAAUAUCCGAAAUUAGUUAAAUAUGUUAGUCUCUUUACAUAUGUUAAGGCAGUCUAGAUAUUAUUUUUUUAAAUUGUAGUUUGUUUAUUUGUUAUUGUCAAUAUUUUUAGUUAGUUUAGAUAGUUUAAUUAGUUAGUAUUUUAGUCCAGUGUUUCUUUAAAAAAAUAUUUUUGUUCCAGACCGGAAACCGGAAGAAACCGAACCCAGUCCGAAAAUUACUAAAAUUCGAAUAAAACUUAUGAGCAUAGUACUGAAAAUCCGAAUUAACCGAAUUGAAUCCAACACCAGGCCUAACGAGGAGAGUCAAGUUAUACACGUACCAUGUGCCUGAUGGCCAUAUCAAGUGAAUUUUUUGAGAACGACCUCCCAAGUCCGUUGUUAUUAUCAGCGACAGUUGAAGAAGUCUUCAGGGUUCUCCGUGAAGUUACAUCUGCAACGUUUGAAAUCCUCCGAGGCUCUGGUGCAUCCAUGUGGUGUUGCAGUCCAUUACCACCACCAUAACGGCCUUUUCCUUGAGUCUCUGCGACUCUUCCUCUCGUCACAACAGGAGAUGAGUUCCUUCUCGUCAGUGGACCUUUUGGUUCUGGACUUGCCUUCGCCGUGAUGCUGCUACCAGCUGCUGGUCUAGACCUGCCAGCGGGCUGAUCCUUCCCACAGCUUCCAUCUGCUGCUCGAACUCUCUUUUCCCAGCCGCUACUUCUUUAAGCCUCUUCACCACCACAGUGGUUCCUUCCUCUAAUAUAGCCUUAUACGUUGUCCCGUAGCUUCCUUUUCCUAGAACUUCAGCAGAGGCUCUGAGCAAGUCCUCGAGGUCGAAGUUGUAUGAGCUUCCUUCGAAGAAGACAAGCUUGUUCUUCUCCGCCUCCUGGACCCCGCUCCCGAACUCCUCCGCCUUGUUGUCACUCCUCCCUGGUUUGGCUUUCGGCGCCGCGGUGGUGCUGCUCUCUUGCCCGUUGUCUUUCUUCUUGGCGCAGCAGAGGGUUAGGAUGGCGAGAAGGAUGAAUAACAGAACCGAACCUCCAACUGCAAUGCCGACAAUAGCAGCAGUAGAGAGAACUCUUUUGCUUGUACCUGGUGGAGUCGGGGAAGGAGAUGGAGAUGGUGAAGUGGUGUUCUCCGGACAUGGAGUUAGAGGACCGCCGCAUAAAAGGGUAUUGCCUUGAAACGCAGAUGCUGGGAAGGACUUGACAGAAGAAGGAACUGAGCCGUUAAGGCUAUUGUAGCUCACGUUCAAGUACUUUAAGCUAGGAGGGAGGUCAGGGAUAGGCCCAGUGAGAGAAUUAUUCUGCAAGCUGAGAUCAGUGAGCUGAGUCAAGUUCCUUAGAGUCCCGGGGAUGCUUCCAGAGAGCGAGUUGGCGGAGAGAUCAAGAUUCACAAGGCGAGGAGAGAGAGCGGGAGGGAUGGAGCCAGAGAAGUUGUUGUCAUGAAAGUAGAGAGAUCUGAUGAAAGGAAGAGAGAGGAUAGCAGACGGGAUGCUCCCUUGGAGGUUGUUGGAACGGAGGCUGAUGAUCCUGAGAGCGUCAAGCUGCUCAAACGUCUUCUCUGGUAAAGGUCCGUAGAGUCCGGAGCCAGGGAGACGGAGGGCGGUUACACGGGCGUUGUUCUUGGAGCAGGUGAUGCCUGUCCAGGAUGUGCAGAUUGGGAUUGUUGUGUUCCAGUUGAGUUUGCGCACGUGGGGAACGAGGGAUGCGAACUCGAGAAGGGCUUGCUUGUCUGUGUCUAUGUCUGUGGGUGAAACAAAUGGGGAGACCAAAAGGAAAACGAAGGCUGCAACGAUCCUCAUCAUCAAAUCUUUUAGGCUCACUCACAUCAAAGUUUAUUGCUCGUUCACCUGAUAACUGCAAGAGAACACAAAACACUGUCAAGUUCUGAUUUUGAGCUACAUAACAGUUAACUUGUAAAUUGAGAUUGUAGCCAACAACACUUCAUAGGUAUUAGGACUAAAGAUCAACACAAUGUAAAGCUGCUAAAUUUACGAGUACCAUUGUUAUGAGCAAUUAGUUAAAAAGGUGCUAAAUUUACGAGUACCAUUGUUAUAAGCAAAUCAACAAAAACCCCCAAAUUAAAUUAAAAAGUUGCUAAAUUUUCGAGUAUCAUUGUUAUAAGCAAUCAUCAAAACCCCCAAUUAGUUAAAAAAAGGUGCUAAAUUUACGAGUACCAUUGUUAUAAGCAAUCAACAAAAAAAAAACCAAUUAAUUAAAAAGUUACUAAAUUUAGAGCUAACAGUGAGUAAAAUGUGUGCCCGCAUACCCAGAUCUGCAAUCUACAGAUGAACAUUUUAGGAAAUUUAAUCCAGCUAAGCAAAAACAGAGAAGUCGAAAUUGAAAACAAAGAAGAAAUCUUUUAGUAUUAAGUAUUAAGAAGCGAAGCUAAUAAAUCAAAAGUGAGAGAUAUAUAUAUAUAUAGAGAGAGAGAGAGACCUUUGAGGUGGGUUCAGAGGAGAAGCAUUGGAAGCUGAUCGAAGAAGAAGAAGAAGAGUGGGAGUGGAAUAAAUGCAAAAGAGGAAAGGAUAAGUGAGUGGAGGAGAGUAUCACUUUUUCAGCAACGGCAUUUCGUGAAGAAGAAGAUUGAGCGAAAGGCGAAAGCGGAAAAGAGUAGAGAAUCUGGAAUCGCCAUUAAACACAGAUUCAGUGAUAGAACAGUCAGAAGAGAGAGAAAGAGAAAGAGAAAGAGCUGCUAAAAGCUUUGGGUGGGUUUCUGGUGAAGGAGGGGAAGCUUCGGCGUGACGAAAACGGAGAAACGUAAAUCUCGAUGGUCAGUUUCAGAUUCCAAUCUCUCCCUCUCUCUCUCUUAUCUGCGAUUUGCUUUGCUUGUGAUGCCUUUGACUCUCUUAGAUUUUAAUUAGUAGCUUUAAUUAAUUAUCUGUCUUUUUGUUAAUUAUUAAUUUCCUAAACGAAUUUUAGCUUUUAUUAAGGGUGGGGGUGGGGGAGGCCCUUGCUUACGAUCUAGUCUGAGUUCCCAACGUUCAAUUUUUUCCCCAUUUUAAAAUCUGUAAUAAUUUUUGGUGUUAUUAUUGGAACGGGUCAACUGAUUAAUGAGAUUUUUUUUGAAUAUUCUAAUAGGUAGUGUGAGGAACCACCCAACUUUUAUAUCAAUGUGGCUUCUUAAUGAGAAAUUUUGGAAUUUUCUUAUAGGUUGUGUGAGAAAUCACCCCACUUAUAUUAAUGUAAAACAUGUAUAUGGCUUCUUAGGUGUUGACUGGUUUCCCCGCUACCACCCGCAACCGCAGCUUUUGCGGUUGGUAGCGGUUUACAGCGUUUCGAAACAAUCAAAUGAACCGCUUUGUACCGCUUCAAACCACUUUGUACCGCUCAAAAUCAAAAGCUCCUUCCCGCAAGUGUUUGCGGUUGCGGGCGGUUGCGAUUGAAAAAAAAAAUAUUAAAUUAGAUUUAGAUUUCAUAUAUAUCCUAACCUAAUCCACAUCACGUACAUCUACCUAUAUAUCCUAACUAAUCCAUUUUUAAUUAACGUUAUAUAUGUGUAUAUUUGAUAAUAUCUCAUUCACGUUAACCUAAUCCAGUAUCAAUCCAUUGAAAUCAUGGCUUUCCAACCAAGAAGAAAGUCAAGAGAACAACGUAAGUGGACUAUGCUUUUAUUCCUGUUUAUUGUUUUAUGAUUUCUGAUAUGUUUUGUUGUUUAAAUUCUGUGAAUGACCAGUAUAUCAUUCAUAUAUAUAUAUUUGUAUGUUUCGUAAUUGGAUAUAUGUUCACCUGGUCUUUGAAUAGAAACUACAAUGGUCAGAUGAGAUGACUCGUUUCUUGUUAGAACUGAUAACGCUGGAAAAACAAGAUGGAAAUUCUAAAGGCAAAAACUUGAGUGAGCAGGAAAAGCAAAAUGUUCUCAAAGAAUUAAAAAAACAGUUUCCAGUUGCGAUCACUUGGAACAAAGUGAAAAACAGACUUGAUACUUUGAAAAAGCAAUAAUAAAUUCACUAUGUUUUGGUUUUCAGAAAGUUACAUGGACGAACGAGAUGACACAUACAUUACUUAAAUGUAUAAUUGUGGAGAAACAGAACAAAGAUGAAGGCAACAGAUUUUUUAAUCUGUCCCAAAACAAGAAGCUUAAUGAGCAAUUUGGAAUAGAGAUGAGUUGGAAGCACGCUAAAAAUCGUUGGGAUUAUUUGAAGAAAUUUUACAAUAUGUAUAAGAUGAAUCCAGAAAAUCCACGUCUCGGAACAAAUUUUUUUGCGUAUGUUGCACAGCUUGAUGAAAUAUUUGGUGAUUAUUAGAAUGCAUGAAACAAUAAUCAUGCCAUAAAUUUAAUUGUUUUUAAUUAUUAAUUAUUAUUUUGUUAUUGGAUUUUAAGUUUAUUAUUUUUAAUCAAAAUUUUUUAUAAUUAUUUUUUGUCUAUUAAAUAUUUUUUAUUAAUUAUUUUUAUAUAUGUGGGUGGGUGGGUAAACCAGUCAGAAAUGAUCCGCAAACGCAACAAUUUUCAAAUGUUGUGCCAGUCAUACAAAACGCUUAAUAACGCUAGAAACUGCAACUACCCGCAUUCGCAAACUCCCGCAACCGCAACCGUAACCGCUGCGUUUGAACCGGUCAGACUCUUAAUGAGGUGAUUUUUGAAUAUUUUAGUAGCUAAUGUGAGAGAACACUCAACUUAUAUUAAUGCAUAGAAUCAAAUGUGUUUUUUUUUCUUUUUUAAAAUGAGAAGGAUAGUAUUUCAAGAUCAAAAUAGGUAUAAGGAAAACAACAAAACUGGGGAAUAUUUAAAUUCUGCUGCAAAUUGAGCUUAUUAUCAUUUGAUAAUUUAUAGAACUAAUUUGAUUUUUUUUGGUAAGGUGGGGACUAUCUUUCAUAAAAAUGGACCCCUGAAGGGAAGGAGUUUGGUAUGUGACAUAAAUGAGGGUAUGAUACGGAGGUCACGGAGGUCACAUUGAAAACAACGAAAUUUAAAUCUCUUCCUUUAAAUAUCAAACUGUGUCAUUAAUGAAAAGUCAAUUUAUGGAAUAAAAUUACAAAAAAACUACUGGCGUUGUUGGUUGUGCUUUGCUGUCUAUCAUUAUUAACUUUAGCUGCAUCUCAGAUUCAUCACGUUACGCGCAUGAACCUAUGUUUCGUCUUUCACAUUCUCAUUGCUAUCGUUACGUUACCAUCUCUUAGAAAAAUAUUACAUAACUACAAAGUUACAAACCUUACUCAAGAAUCAAUAACCAAAGAACCAAUAACCCUUAUAUCUGAUAAUCCGUCUCUUUCCACACCAUUGACAAGCAAACAAAUUGUGUGUAAUAAAUAAAUGAAAAAGAGAGAAAAGUGGUUUUCGAAAGAAAGAAAAAAAGUUUGUUUACUUGUGAUAUGUGUGUGUUAUAGUGGGCCAAAGGGCUCAGGAAGAAGCUCGAAUCCUCCAUUGUCAAACAUGAGUCCGUGAUCUGAUGACCUAUCAUCAAUGCUAUGUAACCAGUUUGUGUUCUUGACGUCCUCCUUCAGCAACAAAGCGUCAUACCUCGAGCUCUCAUACAUGUCCAUGUCGCUCAGCUUCCCCAUCAGUCUUCUUCCCUCGUUUGC
RNAcentral lists this long non-coding RNA (6202 nucleotides) under Brassica napus (rape). Its description in RNAcentral is "long non-coding RNA (BNAP_LNC018000)". Lineage: Eukaryota; Viridiplantae; Streptophyta; Magnoliopsida; Brassicales; Brassicaceae. The record is from RNAcentral.